This 348-nucleotide ribosomal RNA is filed under the name uncultured bacterium. RNAcentral's name for it is "partial 16S ribosomal RNA". It matches the Rfam family "Bacterial small subunit ribosomal RNA", at positions 338 to 683 of the family's 1533-position model. The record is from RNAcentral.
CCUACGGGUGGCAGCAGUGAGGAAUAUUGGUCAAUGGACGAGAGUCUGAACCAGCCAAGUAGCGUGACGGAUGACUGUCCUAUGGGUUGUAAACUUCUUUUAUAAGGGAAUAAAUCGCGGCACGUGUGUCUUUUCGCAUGUACUUUAUGAAAAAGGAUCGGCGAACUCCGUGCCAGCAGCCACGGUAAUACGGAGAAUCCGAGCGUUAUCCGGAUUUAUUGGGUUUAAAGGGGUCGUAGAGGGGUUGUUAAGUCAGUUGUGAAAUGUUGCGGCUCAACCGGAAAAUUGCAAUUGAUACUGGAAGUCGUGAGUACAGUUGAGGUAUGCGGAAUUCGUGGUGUAGCGGUG